RNAcentral lists this long non-coding RNA (1078 nucleotides) under Anser cygnoides (Swan goose). RNAcentral describes it as "lncRNA (ENSACDG00005012534.1)". The record is from RNAcentral. Lineage: Eukaryota; Metazoa; Chordata; Aves; Anseriformes; Anatidae.
CGGGAACGGGCCGGGGGCUGCAGCCCGGCGGCCGGCUCGGGAGGCCUCGGAGGCCGCAGGCCGCGCUGCGAGGGCCCGGAGGAGCGGGCCGGGAGCUGCGGGACCCCCGGAGGAACCGGGACCGCCCGGAGGGGCCUUAGGAUGCGCGGCGCGGCUCGGCGCGGCCCGGCCCGGCCCGGCCCGGUCCGGGGGGGCUGUGCUUGGGGAGAGGUCGGCGGCCUCGGGCUUUCCCCCCGGUGCUGCCGCAGCGGGAGCUGUGCUGCAACGUGUCCCGCCGGCCCGGCCGGAGGAUGCGGGCUGCUUUUCGGGUGCGGAGGUCCCCGACCGACAGCGGGGAGGUGGGGGGGGAACACGGCGCCCCCUCCUCGGCCGGAGCCGGCAGGAAGCUCCGCGCCCCGUCCCGAGGCGGGCAGGAGCGGGGCGGGCGCAGACAAAGCGGCGGCGAGGCCCGGGCCGCCCCCGGCGGGGCCGCCCCGAGGUGACCGCGGCGGGGGCGGGGAUGCGCUGCCGGUGCCGCUCAGCCCCGGGCAGGAGCCCCGGCACCCUCCGGCCACCGGCGCGGCCUGCUCGGGGUGCCCAGCGCCAAGAGAAACCCAGCGAUCAUGGGGAGAAACCCCUCGGGAGAGCUCCCGAGCGUUGUCGCGACUCAACGGGCCACAUCAGCUCUGCUGUCGCGAUUCCCAAAACCGAGAGCAGCCCGCCCCCCCCUCAGCGCUGUCGUCGGUUCCGAGCGGCCUCUCACACCCGCCCGCAGCCGAAACGCGCCCACGUUGCCCCGUGUCCCGACAGCCCCGCUGCCGUGCCCCAUAUCGCGAUAGCCCCAUCAGCCCCUCUGCCAGGCCGCACCUCGCUCCGCGCCCGCGGGAGCCGGCGGUGCCGGGGGGGGGGCCAAAGGUGCCCUGGGACAGCGCCCUGAGCCGCCGGGGCUUCACGGGGCAGGAUUUUUUAAAUCGGGGUUUUCUUGAAAGUGAAUUUAAACCCGAACUCACUCCCACCGUCACGUGGUGCCGAAAUUGGGAACAGGAGCAGAAUAAAAAGUAAACUGGGGUCAACCUCUUAAUGAACCUUUUUCCCACUC